This 311-nucleotide long non-coding RNA is filed under the name Nicotiana benthamiana. Its description in RNAcentral is "long non-coding RNA (NBEN_LNC011801)". The record is from RNAcentral. Lineage: Eukaryota; Viridiplantae; Streptophyta; Magnoliopsida; Solanales; Solanaceae.
GUCCAUUCAUAUAAAAUCUUUGACUUCUGAUUUCGUGGUUGUUAACUGAUUCCUUUACCUUAUUUGCACGAACCGUGUAUUUCCAAGACCUUGUCUUUAAAUAGACCUUUAUGAACUUACCCCUAUUAUACUAUCAUAACAAAAGUGUUUGAUUAAUUUAGUUCCCUAAUUAGUUUUACCGUUUGAAAUCAAAAUCCGUUAAUUAAAGGGAAACCUUGUUAAUUGAUUGACAAUUGAUUUUCAAACUAUUCUCGUACCUUAUUUUUGCUCUCCUUCUAUACUAUAAAAAGUAUGACCUUUUUUUCACAAAC